UUAGAUCCUGGCUCAAGACGACCUUUGGCGGCGCGCCUAACACAUGCAAGUCGAACGAGCGAGAGAGAGCUUGCUUUCUCGAGCGAGUGGCGAACGGGUGAGUAACGCGUGAGGAACCUGCCUCAAAGAGGGGGACAACAGUUGGAAACGACUGCUAAUACCGCAUAAGCCCACGGGUCGGCAUCGACCAGAGGGAAAAGGAGCAAUCCGCUUUGAGAUGGCCUCGCGUCCGAUUAGCUAGUUGGUGAGGUAAUGGCCCACCAAGGCGACGAUCGGUAGCCGGACUGAGAGGUUGAACGGCCACAUUGGGACUGAGACACGGCCCAGACUCCUACGGGAGGCAGCAGUGGGGAAUAUUGCACAAUGGGGGGAACCCUGAUGCAGCGACGCCGCGUGGAGGAAGAAGGUCUUCGGAUUGUAAACUCCUGUUGUUGGGGAAGAUAAUGACGGUACCCAACAAGGAAGUGACGGCUAACUACGUGCCAGCAGCCGCGGUAAAACGUAGGUCACAAGCGUUGUCCGGAAUUACUGGGUGUAAAGGGAGCGCAGGCGGGAAGACAAGUUGGAAGUGAAAUCUAUGGGCUCAACCCAUAAACUGCUUUCAAAACUGUUUUUCUUGAGUAGUGCAGAGGUAGGCGGAAUUCCCGGUGUAGCGGUGGAAUGCGUAGAUAUCGGGAGGAACACCAGUGGCGAAGGCGGCCUACUGGGCACCAACUGACGCUGAGGCUCGAAAGUGUGGGUAGCAAACAGGAUUAGAUACCCUGGUAGUCCACACCGUAAACGAUGAUUACUAGGUGUUGGAGGAUUGACCCCUUCAGUGCCGCAGUUAACACAAUAAGUAAUCCACCUGGGGAGUACGACCGCAAGGUUGAAACUCAAAGGAAUUGACGGGGGCCCGCACAAGCAGUGGAGUAUGUGGUUUAAUUCGACGCAACGCGAAGAACCUUACCAAGUCUUGACAUCCCUUGACGAUGCUGGAAACAGUAUUUCUCUUCGGAGCAAGGAGACAGGUGGUGCAUGGUUGUCGUCAGCUCGUGUCGUGAGAUGUUGGGUUAAGUCCCGCAACGAGCGCAACUCUUAUGGUCAGUUACUACGCAAGAGGACUCUGGCCAGACUGCCGUUGACAAAACGGAGGAAGGUGGGGAUGACGUCAAAUCAUCAUGCCCUUUAUGACUUGGGCUACACACGUACUACAAUGGCGUUAAACAAAGAGAAGCAAGACCGCGAGGUGGAGCAAAACUCAGAAACAACGUCCCAGUUCGGACUGCAGGCUGCAACUCGCCUGCACGAAGUCGGAAUUGCUAGUAAUCGUGGAUCAGCAUGCCACGGUGAAUACGUUCCCGGGCCUUGCAAA
This 1354-nucleotide ribosomal RNA is filed under the name uncultured bacterium. Its description in RNAcentral is "bacterial SSU rRNA". It matches the Rfam family "Bacterial small subunit ribosomal RNA", at positions 12 to 1389 of the family's 1533-position model. The record is from RNAcentral.